AUGAGGAUUACAGCCUAGAACUAUCGGGGAUUGGGGAAUGGCCCGGCAGUGAGAGGUCUUCUGGACCUCCAGAAGCAGGUAGACCCCGAUGUCCUUUUCUUGUCUGAAACAAAGAUGGCCGAGAGAGGAAUGGAAAAACAAAAGUGGAUGCUUGGCAUGGGAAAUAUGAUUGUCAAGGCAUGUGAUGGGAAGAGUGGUGGUUUGGCAUUACUGUGGAAA
RNAcentral lists this ribosomal RNA (219 nucleotides) under Triticum aestivum (bread wheat). RNAcentral's name for it is "partial small subunit ribosomal RNA". The record is from RNAcentral. Lineage: Eukaryota; Viridiplantae; Streptophyta; Magnoliopsida; Poales; Poaceae.